This 667-nucleotide ribosomal RNA is filed under the name Tetradesmus obliquus. RNAcentral's name for it is "eukaryotic LSU rRNA". The stretch from base 230 to 383 matches the Rfam family "5.8S ribosomal RNA". The record is from RNAcentral. Lineage: Eukaryota; Viridiplantae; Chlorophyta; Chlorophyceae; Sphaeropleales; Scenedesmaceae.
ACCUGCGGAAGGAUCAUUGAAUAUAAAACCACAAUGUGAACCUAUCUGUUCCGUGCCUUAGCUGCCAGCAAGGCAAUUGGCUUUGCCCAAUUGUGCUUGCAAGCUGGUGCGAGUAAUUUUAUUACUUGCAUCAGUGGCGCUCUGGCAUGCUUAUACACCAGUGCUAACCACUGUCAAAACCAAACUCUGAAGCUUUGAUUGCUAUUAAUUGGCAAUCUUAACCAAAGACAACUCUCAACAACGGAUAUCUUGGCUCUCGCAACGAUGAAGAACGCAGCGAAAUGCGAUACGUAGUGUGAAUUGCAGAAUUCCGUGAACCAUCGAAUCUUUGAACGCAUAUUGCGCUCGAGCCCUCGGGCAAGAGCAUGUCUGCCUCAGCGUCGGUUUAUAACCUCACCCCUCUCUCCUUUUGGAGGGCUGGUCAGCUUUUAGUUGGCCUCAGGGGUGGAUCUGGCUUUCCCAAUUGGUUCACUCCGAUUGGGUUGGCUGAAGCUUAGAGGCUUAAGCAAGGACCCGAUAUGGGCUUCAACUGGAUAGGUAGCACCGGCUUCUGCCGACUACACGAAGUUGUGGCUUGUGGACUUUGCUAGAGGCCAAGCAGGAAACAUGCUCUGCAUGUCUUAAACUUUCGACCUGAGCUCAGGCAAGGCUACCCGCUGAACUUAAG